This 468-nucleotide ribosomal RNA is filed under the name uncultured bacterium. RNAcentral's name for it is "partial 16S ribosomal RNA". It matches the Rfam family "Bacterial small subunit ribosomal RNA", at positions 28 to 507 of the family's 1533-position model. The record is from RNAcentral.
GACGAACGCUGGCGGCGUGCUUAACACAUGCAAGUCGAACGGAAAGGCCCUGCUUUUGUGGGGUGCUCGAGUGGCGAACGGGUGAGUAACACGUGAGUAACCUGCCCUUGACUUUGGGAUAACUUCAGGAAACUGGGGCUAAUACCGGAUAGGAGCUCCUGCUGCAUGGUGGGGGUUGGAAAGUUUCGGCGGUUGGGGAUGGACUCGCGGCUUAUCAGCUUGUUGGUGGGGUAGUGGCUUACCAAGGCUUUGACGGGUAGCCGGCCUGAGAGGGUGACCGGCCACAUUGGGACUGAGGUACGGCCCAGACUCCUACGGGAGGCAGCAGUGGGGAAUAUUGAACAAUGGGCGGAAGCCUGAUGCAGCAACGCCGCGUGCGGGAUGACGGCCUUCGGGUUGUAAACCGCUUUCGCCUGUGACGAAGCGUGAGUGACGGUAAUGGGUAAAGAAGCACCGGCUAACUACGUG